CGCGAAGAACCUUACCUGGGCUUGACAUGUACGUAGUAGUGAAGGGAAACCGGAACAAGCCUUCGGGCAGCGUAGACAGGUGCUGCAUGGCUGUCGUCAGCUCGUGUCGUGAGAUGUUGGGUUAAGUCCCGCAACGAGCGCAACCCGUGUUGCUAGUUACAAGUGUCUAGCGAGACUGCCGGUAACAAGCCGGAGGAAGGUGCGGAUGAUGUCAAGUCAGCAUGGCCUAUAUGUCCAGGGCUACACACACGCUACAAUGGCUGGUACAAAGAGAAGCGAAAGGGAGACCUGAAGCGAAUCUCAUCAAAGCCAGUCAUAGUUCGGAUUGCAGGCUGCAACUCGCCUGCAUGAAGUCGGAGUUGCUAGUAACCGCAGGUCAGCAAUACUGCGGUGAAUACGUUCCCGGGCCUUGUACACAC
RNAcentral lists this ribosomal RNA (419 nucleotides) under uncultured bacterium. Its description in RNAcentral is "bacterial SSU rRNA". It matches the Rfam family "Bacterial small subunit ribosomal RNA", at positions 960 to 1390 of the family's 1533-position model. The record is from RNAcentral.